Molecule: unclassified non-coding RNA, 213 nt
Filed under: Hevea brasiliensis (rubber tree)
Lineage: Eukaryota; Viridiplantae; Streptophyta; Magnoliopsida; Malpighiales; Euphorbiaceae
Source: RNAcentral
ACUUGAUACCUGUCUUUGCAGUGCAAUCCAACAAAACCAGCUCAAGUAAGUGGUUUACAUAUUCUUAAUCUUUUGAUGUGUCAUAUGAAAUCUAACUGCACAAACAUGUCAAAUUAACAGAGAAAACUGAUAAAACAAAACAGCCUAUUGAAAAAAGUAAUUAAAAGCAUAUGUAAUUCACAGAUGGCUGCUAUUCAAGCCAGAAAAUGGCAC